This 503-nucleotide ribosomal RNA is filed under the name uncultured Glomus. RNAcentral describes it as "SSU rRNA". It matches the Rfam family "Eukaryotic small subunit ribosomal RNA", at positions 569 to 1074 of the family's 1831-position model. The record is from RNAcentral. Lineage: Eukaryota; Fungi; Glomeromycota; Glomeromycetes; Glomerales; Glomeraceae.
AGCAGCCGCGGUAAUUCCAGCUCCAAUAGCGUAUAUUAAAGUUGUUGCAGUUAAAAAGCUCGUAGUUGAAUUUCGGGAUCAAUAUAUUGGUCAUGCUUAGGUAUGUACUGGUAUUAUUGAUUUCUCCCUUCUGAAGAACCAUAAUGUCAUUAAUUUGAUGUCAUGGGGAAUCAGGACUGUUACUUUGAAAAAAUUAGAGUGUUUAAAGCAGGCUUUCGCUUGAAUACAUUAGCAUGGAAUAAUGAAAUAGGACGUUUGAUUCUAUUUUGUUGGUUUCUAGGAUCGACGUAAUGAUUAAUAGGGAUAGUUGGGGGCAUUAGUAUUCAAUUGUCAGAGGUGAAAUUCUUGGAUUUAUUGAAGACUAACUACUGCGAAAGCAUUUGCCAAGGAUGUUUUCAUUAAUCAAGAACGAAAGUUAGGGGAUCGAAGACGAUCAGAUACCGUCGUAGUCUUAACCAUAAACUAUGCCGACUACGGGAUCGGAUGAUGUUAAUUUUUAAUGA